RNAcentral lists this unclassified non-coding RNA (270 nucleotides) under uncultured Helotiales. Its description in RNAcentral is "sequence contains 5.8S rRNA gene, ITS2, 28S rRNA gene". The stretch from base 1 to 52 matches the Rfam family "5.8S ribosomal RNA", at positions 103 to 154 of the family's 154-position model. The record is from RNAcentral. Lineage: Eukaryota; Fungi; Ascomycota; Leotiomycetes; Helotiales.
AACGCAUAUUGCGCCCUCUGGUAUUCCGGGGGGCAUGCCUGUUCGAGCGUCAUUAAAAAAUAUUCAAGCAUAGCUUGGUUUUGGGCUUUCAUCCCUCUUUUUUAUAAGGGGAUGGGCCUAAAAAUCAGUGGCGAUACCUGUAUAUCUCUGGCUUCAAAACGUAGUAAAAAAAUCUCGUCUUAGGCUCAGUGUUAAAAAAUGUAUCUGCCAAAAAAAAAUUGCCCUUUAAAAGUUGACCUCGAAUCAGGUAGGAGUACCCGCUGAACUUAA